AUGAACCGCGGCGAACCCUCAGACGACCCUUCUAAGAUAAGGGGGGAGAUCCUCAGUAGUGGUGACCCUUUGACUCUUCCACUGACUUAUAUAUGUACCGAAUGCUCAUACGGGAAAGUGAACUCCUGGGUCUAGAACCUGGGGGGGUUGCUCCAAUAAAAAAUCCUUUCUUUCUCGUCCACUCUAGGGGGUGCGGACACACCUGCGCGGAUUACAGGUGACGGUUACAAGAAUGGCGCAAGUGAAGAUUUGGUUCUAGUGCCCCCACCCUUUUCGAGAUCUGUCAGGAUUAGCAAGACGUUCUGGUGUAAACUAUAG
This 318-nucleotide ribosomal RNA is filed under the name Triticum aestivum (bread wheat). RNAcentral describes it as "partial small subunit ribosomal RNA". The record is from RNAcentral. Lineage: Eukaryota; Viridiplantae; Streptophyta; Magnoliopsida; Poales; Poaceae.